RNAcentral lists this ribosomal RNA (253 nucleotides) under uncultured bacterium. RNAcentral describes it as "partial 16S ribosomal RNA". It matches the Rfam family "Bacterial small subunit ribosomal RNA", at positions 524 to 776 of the family's 1533-position model. The record is from RNAcentral.
UACGUAGGCAGCAAGCGUUGUUCGGAGUUACUGGGCGUAAAGGGUGCGUAGGCGGUUGUUUAAGUUUGGUGUGAAAUCUCCCGGCUCAACUGGGAGGGUGCGCCGAAUACUGAAUGACUAGAGUGCGGGAGAGGAGAGUGGAAUUCCUGGUGUAGCGGUGAAAUGCGUAGAUAUCAGGAGGAACACCGGUGGUGCAGACGGCUCUCUGGACCGUAACUGACGCUGAGGCACGAAAGCGUGGGUAGCAAACAGG